This 205-nucleotide long non-coding RNA is filed under the name Elaeis guineensis (African oil palm). Its description in RNAcentral is "long non-coding RNA (EGUI_LNC023442)". Lineage: Eukaryota; Viridiplantae; Streptophyta; Magnoliopsida; Arecales; Arecaceae. The record is from RNAcentral.
CCAUCUUUUCUAUCCAUGAGGUCUUCCUUAAGUCUAUCUAUUUUCUUCCAAAUUUCUCUGCUGCAUAUUGCUUUAUCUAGAAUUAUGUAUUGGGAUGUCAGAUAAAUAUUUUACUAGGUGUGUAUUAACUGAUCAUAUACUGUAUAUUUAUGAGUACUAAGUUCAAUAAAUUAUUUAUCAAUUUAUCUUUAAGUGUAUUGGAUUG